Marmota monax (woodchuck) is the source of this 2849-nucleotide long non-coding RNA. RefSeq lists it as uncharacterized. NCBI's taxonomy places the organism in Eukaryota, Metazoa, Chordata, Mammalia, Rodentia, Sciuridae. The record is from RefSeq and is a predicted model, not a curated record. The transcript is spliced from 6 exons.
UUUAGUGACCUUAUAAAUUACCAUUACUGAGUCCUCCUCCUUUUUGAUACUUGAUACAUUGGGCACAGUGUGUAUAAUGGUUAGGGACAUUAGCUUUGACAUAAAGCCUAGGCUCAAUCCUUGGAUUUCUUGUGUAGGAGCUGUGCGAUCUUAAGCAAGUUACUCACUCACUCUGACCCUGGUCUUCAUUUGCAAAAAAGGGCUUAACAAUAGUAACAUCUACCUCAUAUUAUAGAUAGACCCAAUUCUAAAAAAAAAAAAAAAAAAAAAGCAUCUAAAGACAUUGUACAGUGCUGGCAUAGAGGUUAGCUUUCAGUAAAGGGAACUUUUUCUCACCACGUUUUCCUGGUUGAGUUUACUUCAUGCUCUGCACAUUCUGGUGAUGUUUCUUGGGCUACUUCUGUACUUUACCUUUACUCACAGCACAUUCACUAUGGUCUUGUGUUUAUCGUUUCUCUGUUUAAAACAACAUCAGAGCCUUAUGGUGAAGCAGGUGGGCUGAACCAACAAAACUUAUGGGUUCAUAAUCGCAGCUGUGUCUCUUACUAGCUAAGUGCACUUGAACUUCCAAAUUGUACUUUCCCUUGUGCUUGUCUUUGCUAUUAUCACUAUUAAAUGAGGCUUAUAGUAGUAUCUACCUUCAUAGCUUCUGCCCACUUCAAAACUGCUGUGUGAAGAUUCAAUGAGCUAGGCAUGUAUCACGUAAUUAGCCCAAUUCCUGGAACAGAAUAAGCACCUACUAAAUGUUAGUCCUUCUACUCUCAGUCUCCAUAUUAAAGGUUUUGUCCCUGCAUUCAUUUAUUCUCCGUUCUCCCUUGCCCCCAUGUAAGAACAUCUGGUCAACCCCGUGCAUAUGACCUCUGUGGAGCCUUCAUACCAACUUCACCCCAGUCCAGACCUUUGUUCUUUCUUUCUGAUCAUAAGAACUGCUUCAUAGCUAGUUUCUCUGCCUGCAAUAUGCACCCCUUGAUCUACUGUCAACAAUAAAGUCAUUGAAUUCCCCCAAAUCACAUUCCUGAUCCUGUCUCUUUGACACUGAGAACUCCUGUGGUUCCCCAUUGUUUGCAGAUUAAAUUCUGAACUGCAAGUCAUGCUAUUCAAGAGCUCCCCUAUCCAGACUCCACUUCCCUUUCAAGCAUUAUCUCUCCCCUGCACACAUUGUUGUCUCCAGUGACCCAGAUGAAGAGAGCAUCCUCUCUUCCUAAGAUCUGACUACGAUUUCCCCAUCAGGGCCAUGGUUUCUCUUGUUCUCUCCAUUUCAAUAUCCUCCCUUUUCUAAGUGCCAUAUAACUAUCACUCUUUAAAGUUCAAUGCAGAUGCUAUCUUCACCAGGAUUUGACAUCUCCCCUACCUGUACACAGAAAAGAUACACACUUCUGGGAUGUCAUCUGACUCUUCCCAGUAAUGCCACAUUUUCUACCUUAUGUUCUGUCUAAAAAUAAUUUUCUUUCUUUCUUUUCCUUUGUUUUCAUUCUUUCCACAAGAUCAAAAUCUGUUAAGUACUCAUUUUGUCCCUCUGUCUUCUGCCCUUCACCUUAUAGUUUGCAUCAAUAUUUUCAGGGUAGAUAGGUGGGUAUCUUAAUUAACCCCUCUGGGCAUUGAAUCAGGCUCUGUGGAGGACACAGCAAAAACCAUAAAGAGCUCUCUUCCUAUCUUGCAGGGACAUAAAGCUGAAAUGAGAAGAAAGAGCAUGCACACAUGAAAAUGACUGAGUAACCUUCUCAGAGCAGCUCAUAAAUGGAAGCAGCUUAAUGCAGUGCCCUAGAGUUGGAUUCCUCUAUGCACUUCGACAACAUUGCAAUACCUGUAAGUGAAGACUAUGUGAAAGCAGAAUCGGGAAAGAAACUUGAUUUCAUUGCAAGAAAAGAAAACAAAGAAUGUUGAUUAGUUUCAGGUUUCCAUCCCUGUGUGAGAUCAUCACUUAUCCUGUAGCAUCCAAUAUCAGAAUGAGAAUGAGACCCAUAGGAGGAGAAAAGAGAAGGUUGCAGCUUCUAUCCCACCUCCCCCCUAAUGAGCCUGUGGGAGGGUGGAAAGCAGGACUCAGAAUGUUGGCCAUCAAGUGGGAGAGGAACUGUGGAAAGAGGGAAGUGGACUGGAGGAAGCUGACCAAGAUUUUUCUUGAGACAAGAAAUAAAGGCUACCAAGUUGGUGAGAAGGAGAAAGAGCUAUACAUCACCUGAUUAGAACAGGUUUCAACCAGGAGAGAAAGGCAAGUUUCACUAUUGUCAGAUGAUGGGAUAAAGCCAGACUUUCUCAUGGACUUCACUGGCAGUGCAAGGCAGAGACGGAGUGAGCGGAUGGGAAGGUGAGAAGAGACAUGUAAGAAGGGAAAACUUGUUAGCAACUAGUGAGGAUCAAAAUCCUCCCUCUCCUCUCAACCUUCUCUGAUGCCAUGUGCUCAUCUUCAGGGCACUUGAGGUGCUAUAGCUAGCAAGUGAGGACAUGUAGUCUCUCUGCUCAGUUUUUGCUGGGAAGGGUCGGGGAGAGGAAGAACACUUUUUCUUCUUCUUUUGAAAAAUUUUUGUAGUGUUUGGAUGCAGUAGAGUCAUUGUUAUCUGAAAGGUUUUUUGCCUUAUCAGGAUGUCUCUUUGCUGGCUCUUUGACUAGAGGAACAACUUUGUUGGUCGUUUCCUUUCUGUCUAUUGGUGUUUUCAAGUUGCCUCCUUCAACAUCUUUGCUUCUGGCACAUGUAAGACAAAGAUCAAGGGUCUCAGCACCACAUUAUCACACUAAUUCUUGGGUCCUUAGCAGAAGUUUUACUUUCUACACUUUCAAUGUCCCUUUAUCUAUAUGAUUUAAAAUGUCUAAGAUUCUUUCAUGGUGCCGAAUAGGAGGAGAAGGUAAUCAUC